ACGAACGCUGGCGGCGUGCUUAACACAUGCAAGUCGAACGGUGAAGCGCCUUCCUUUUUGGUGGGUGUGGAUGAGUGGCGAACGGGUGAGUAACACGUGAGUAACCUGCCCCCUUCUUCUGGAUAACCGCAUGAAAGUGUGGCUAAUACGGGAUAUUCUGGGUCUGUCGCAUGAUGGGUCUGGGAAAGAUAUUGUUUCGGUGGGGGAUGGGCUCGCGGCCUAUCAGCUUGUUGGUGGGGUGAUGGCCUACCAAGGCGGUGACGGGCAGCCGGCCUGGGAGGGUCGGCCGCACCACUAGGGCGGCGAGGCGGCGACUCCUACUGGGGGCAGCAGCAGGGGGGAAUGGUGAACGGUGGACGGCCGGCUGAUGCAGCGACGCGGGGGGGAGGAUGGAGUCCUGGUUGUUGAGAACCUCUGUCGGGAGCGAAGAAGGCUUGCCUAAUUUGUCGGUGGGUUGACGGUAGCUGGAGAAGAAGCGCCGGCUAACUACGUG
This 493-nucleotide ribosomal RNA is filed under the name uncultured bacterium. Its description in RNAcentral is "partial 16S ribosomal RNA". It matches the Rfam family "Bacterial small subunit ribosomal RNA", at positions 29 to 507 of the family's 1533-position model. The record is from RNAcentral.